GGACUACCAGGGUAUCUAAUCCUGUUCGCUCCCCUGGCUUUCGCACCUCAGCGUCAGGAACUCCCCAGGACACUGCCUACGCCUUCGGUGUUCCUCCGGAUAUCUACGCAUUUCACCACUACACCCGGAAUUCCGUGUCCCUCUGAAGCCCUCAAGUCGCCCAGUUUUUGAAGUCCUUGCUCAGUUAAGCCGAGCACUGUCACUCCAAACUUAGGCGACCGCCUGCGUGCGCUUUACGCCCAGUAACUCCGGACAACGCUUGCCCCCUACGUAUUACCGCGGCGGCUGGCAC
This 292-nucleotide ribosomal RNA is filed under the name uncultured bacterium. RNAcentral's name for it is "partial 16S ribosomal RNA". The record is from RNAcentral.